Molecule: RNA transcript, 6357 nt
Organism: Venturia canescens
Lineage: Eukaryota; Metazoa; Arthropoda; Insecta; Hymenoptera; Ichneumonidae
Gene name: putative SLC9B1-like protein SLC9B1P1
Exons: 2
Source: RefSeq, a predicted model, not a curated record
CCUCUGGGACCCAACACAAAAUAUCUAAUAAUUAAUGAUAAUGAUACGAUCGAUUAUUUUAAUGACAGCGAACGGAAUAUUAAAUGCGCCCCAUGCAGCGCAUCGAAAGGGAGGGAGAAAGAGAGAGAGAGAGUAAGAUAGAAGGAAAAAUAAAAGAAAAGAAAGAGGUAGAGAUCGAGAAGAACGCCGGACUGAGCCGUCGUCGUCGUCGUCGUAGUUGUCUUCGUCUUCGUCGUCAUCGUCGUCGCAGAAUAUUUGCAGCAGUCUAAUUUGUACCGUAUACAAGUUGGCCGCGCACCCCCUCUGCGUCCCGAUGUCAACAACUUGCAACGUGUUUUGUUGUACUCAAAGUCAUCGUCAUCGUCAUCGUCCUCUCCUCUGCGCUGACACCAACAACAACAACAACAACAACAACGAACAAAAUGAAUAAUGAAAGAAAAAAGGACUGAAAAAUAUGAAGAACAAUAAAACUCUAAAGUUUUGCCCGCGCGUAACAAAGAACAUGAAAAAACCACAAAAAUGUCACGCGUGUACGAAUUUCAUCGGGAAAACACACACACGCGCACACACACACACACACACACACACACGCACGCAAACACAUACGGCGCGAACAACAAAAAACAAACAAGCUUGUGCUCGAAAGAGAAACGCCGAAAAUAUAUUUUCACCCAACGAAAAAAAAGGAGAAUAAACGAAAGAGUGGGGGGAGGUGAAUACCUCCUCCGAAAGUCCAGGGUGUUUUCACCGCGUUUUAUUUCGUUUCGAUCCUCUCACAUUUUCUCCUCGCUUUACCCUCGGCGUUCAUUUUACCACGACGACGCGCAUAUGACGGAGUAAACGCACGCGCACGCACACACACGCUCAUGCACUCGGACACAGGGACACGGAGAACGGGAAAGAGAAGGAGGGCGGGAGAAGUCUCCCACUACGUUUGAGAUGCGCGCGAGUCAUACAGCGAGAAAAGACGAUACGACCGAGGCUGCUGUUCGUGUGUGCCUCUGUGUAUGCCUGCGUGUGUGUGUGUGUGUGCGCGCGUAUGCAAGCGUGAGUACGCGAGUUGUAUGUUUGUCGGCUGUAACGCGACCGCUUUCCAAAGAUCUCUGGCAGUAAAGAAGCAAAAAAAUAAAUAGAAGAAGAAGGAAAGAAAGAUGCCCUGAACAUCUCGCGGAGCAUGAGCGAAGCAGUGAAAAAGCGCAAAGAUCGAUAAGCAUGUAACAAUAUUAUACCGUUAAAGUCGACAAUGAUAAUUAAACUCGUAUCGUAAUAUAAAGUUACGGCCUUUUUUUUACAAAUGUACGAAAGGGGAAGAGAAAUAUAGAGAGAGAGAGAGAGAGAGUAAAAGCGAGUGCGAGUGUGUUUUUGGAGACUCGAAUGUUGCUGCGCGUGGGAUCGAGACAAAAGCUAGCUCGGACGGGUGUGUGCGCGGAUGAACAAGUGGAAGAGUCGAGGACGCGAGGGACAAUGGCUCGAGGAGAACAAACAAAAGAGAAGAAAAUCGUAUUAUGCAAGUACGGGACGGUGAAAAUUCUGGCAGAAUGAGAGAGUGAAAGGAAGAGAGAGAGAGAAAACAAAACAAAAAACACACACACUCACACAAAAAAGAACGAACUGAAGAAAUAAGAAUUCAACUUGGCUGCAGCAUCCGGCAUGACGGAACGAAACGCGGUUGUUUUAGCUAUUUAACUGUUUUAUUAUUGCUACUGUAUAAGAUAGGCGAACGAUGUGUCAUAUUGCUGAGAUUUUUUAUCGAUGAUGAGGGCGCGAGAUGAGAGUAAUGAAAAGAAAGAACGAGAGCGAAGCAUAGUAGAGGAAAAAAGAUAAAAAGCGCGAGGGGGCGACCGAGAGAGAAGAACGAAACAAAGAGGAAAAAAUAGAUACGGGGCGAAAGAGGAGAACGAGCCGCGCCGCAACACGUGCACACCAUCCGACAUUUUUACACAAUCAAUAUAUACAUACAAAGAUGCGAGCGAGCGAAAGAAUCGUACAUGGCAGAGCGAGAGCGAGAAAAUUCUUGUAUCAAGCGAGUGAAAGAGAGAAUGAGAGCGUGCCUGCGUGUGUAUGUGCGUUUGCUAGGAAGAAAGCAAGGAAGAGAGAGAGAGAAACAAGGGAGAGCACGCGUGUGUCUGAGAGCGAGCACCGGGAAGAUUAGAGCCACUGUAUCAAAGAGAGAAAGAGGAGAGGGGAAGGAAACUACCGUUGGGAAAAUGACACAGAAAAAUCUCAAGUUGCACUGGGGGGGUUUUAUUGCCGAUGGCUUCAAAAUUCCGUGGGAGCGUUGCAAUUUUACAAAAAAAAAAUGAAAAAAAAAAAAAGAAAACACAAUGCUUUGAUGAAACAAAAAUGGAGAUGAGUGGCGCUAACUCCCUGUCGAAAUUUCCAUCCUCGAAACGGCUUUACCACACAAAAUACAACAACAUUCGAAUAAACAAAUGGCUCCGUAGAAAUUUCGCUCUCCGACGCUCGCGCGUCUCGCCUUUUCGCUACAGAACUAUUAUAACUUCUUGUACUACUACCGCUAUCGCUAACUACUACAAAGAAAAUGAAGGAAGGAAAAAAACGAAAAGGACAAAAAAAAUAACAACUACCUAACUAACUACCACCUUAACUAUUACUACCACCUUACCUAUUACUUACAUACUAUGAAAAACUGGGCGCUUGUUGCAUGGAAAAUAUAAAAAAUGAACAUUCGAGCUGACUAAUGAUGAAAGAGGCAUAAAAAGUAUUCGUGUGAUUAUUCGAUGUGCCAAGCGCGCCAGGGCGAACUACUGUGUAACGAUUUUUAUCGAUAAACCGAAAAAAAAAAAAAAAAAAACAAAAAAACAAAAAAAAAACAACACUGGAAAGAAUAAAAAUUGAAGUAACAAUUGUGUAACAAAAAGUGUGUCGUCUCGCCAAAAAUCGUCAUUUUAUUGGUUUCUUUUCAAGUCCCUUCGAAGAUGUCGCGGUCUAUGUCAUUUGCACGAAUAGUUAUAAAAGUAUCUUUGCCCGUUCAAAUAAUUGACGAAAGGAAGAAGAAUAAAAGAAAAGGCAAAAAGCGCGUGCGCGUGUCCCCGAGAUAAGGAGAGAGAAGAACGGUGGAGAAAGAGAGGUCGGAGUUUAACGAGCGACGAAUGCCACGGAAGAAGCGGAACAAGAGGACGCGAGAGAGGGAGAGAUUGCGCAAGAGAAACGAUAAAGAGAGCAACGGAUAUGAGGUGUAGCUUUGUAAAACGAUAUUUCCUCUUAAGAUUUUUUUUUUGCAUACAUCAAAAGUAAGAUUGUGUUAAGAGAGUAAUAAAUUUGUAUAAAGUGGUGUAAAAAACGGACGUGUUUUAUUUUCAUUAAUUUCGUCGAUUUGACUGCGAUUCGAUGUGGUUGGAAAAUGGCGAAUAUGUGAAUACAGAUACGGACUUACUGCAAUAACGUCGCUGUGAAAAAACGGAAACGGUCGACCCCGUCACCGCAGCUCUCCAUUUCCGGUCUCUGACAUCUCGGAAUUCCUGACGAGAGCGAGCGGAGAAAAAACCGAUAAGAACGACCUACUUCUUACCCCCCAACCCACGUAUUUGGCAUGAUUUCUCAUUUCGCCACGUCAUUCGACUUUCAUCCCUCAAAAAGCUGGUGAGUAAACCAAGAUAUGAAAAGGAACUUGGGCCGAAUCGAUCACAGAUUAUGGCGUGGUCACGCGCUUCUCGAGAUUGAGAGUAGAAAACGACUGAGUUUUUUCCCCUCGCGUACACUUGCCGCUCGAAAGGUGGUUUCUCGGGCGAUUAGGAAGAAUGUUGAAUUUCGUCGUUCCGAUUACAAAAACUGCGCGUUGGAAUAUUCGCGACACUGUGCUCACUGCAUACUCAGCCGUUUCGGUUGACCUUGAAACGGCCACGAUCCUUCAAAUUUCGUACAUCGCACGGUUUUUCAACACCGAGAUCGACCGUUAUCGAUUUCCAAGGUUGCAGCGAGAAGUUGUCACUUGGCUUUUUCCUUUUAUUUCCACCACCGGGCUUUAAUAUUCCAUGAGUUUUCACUUGACCUUGGAGAUUUUCUGCGUAAUUGCGCGCUCGAGCUCGAGCGGUCCUUUGUGGCGCAAGGUUCAGCAGUUGUAUAGAUACGUUGGAAUUGAAACGAGAAAAAGUGAAAAAAACGAUUCUCCAAAAUCUCAGCACAGCGGAAAAUAACCUCAAUACUCGAUUCUCACGACACCUGCGAAAAUGAUCAUUUUCACAUGGAAAAAAACCGUCGAAAAUUCAGAGCGAGUUUUUCAUGCCAGCGGAGAAGAAGAGAACGAUGAAGAAGAAUCGAUCACGAAAGUAUAGAAAACUGAGAUUUCUUCGUUGAAUUUGCACUCGAAAUUAUCCGUUCGUACUUCCCGUCAAUAUUCCCAUCGUGACGUAUAAGGACGCGAAUGGAAGAUACAAACAUCGAAUUAGAGGAUGGAAAACUUGGAGAACGAAUAGACGAGACAAAAUUUACAGCUACAAAGUAGCGAGCGGAGGAUUUAUGGUCAGCUCGUUCGAUUAUGGCAGUGAGAGAUGAAGAGCAAGAGGAAAGAAUCAGGGAGAGCGAAAGAGAGAUGAAUCAAACGGUCUUUCGGUCUUUCGGUCGGUCGGUCGAUCGGUCGAGGCCCAGCCGGCCGGCUGUACGAGCGAGAGGCCUCCUGGUCAACGGGGUGAGACGAAGGGAGGGAGAGAAGAGAGCGAGGGAGAGAUCGAAGACGGGAGGAGACAGAGAACUGUGGCACAGUAUACACGAUGCGAUUUUUUGUAGUAUCGCAUGAACAGCGAUCGUCCGUGUGAGAGAAAGAGCCGAAGAGAUAAAUAAAAAGAUAAGAGUUUCGGUGGGAAAGAGAGAGACGAGGAAAAGAUAGCGAAAAAAGGGACAAUCUCGAUCGCUCCUUUUAUAAAGUGGAACGGCGAAGUUUGUGCCGGAGGAUUCGCCGAAGAUCUACAGAUGGUAUCGAGACGAAUCGUCCUCGUAUCUGCAACUCUUUGCCAAGAAAAACUCAUCCAAUUGCUUUUUUUCCCUUCAUUCGUAUGUGUGUGUCUCUCUCUCUGUCUCUCUGCUUGUGUGCAGCAAUAAAUGGAGGCACGAACACACAUUUAUGGAAUAACAACGUGUAACGUGGACUCGGAGAGGCCUUGUCCCCCGAAGUCACGCAUUCAAGGUCGCCAACAUUCAGCCAGACAGCGAGUGAGCCUCGCGGCCUCGAUACGACCACUGGAAUAGAUGGAGCCACGAACUUGCGUACCCUUUUCCUCCGUUUCUUCUACAGCUCUAGAAUUAUACACAUUAUAUAUAUACACAUAUACAUAUGGACAGGAAUAAAUAUACGGAUGGAAUUUAAUCGAGACAUUGCGGGGGUUGAAACCGGAAAAUAUCCGUAACAAUCUCAUUUGCAUGAGACGAAAACGCCUCGAAGGUGAGAACUUGAAUUGCAAAUUAUGACCUAUCGCAUGCAGCUAUAACAACGAAAAUUUCAAUGUUUUCAGUACUUCUGUAUCUAAGAAGGUAUCAUUGAAACCUACAGCAUUAACGAACAUGGCUAGUCUAAUUGCACAUUGAAAGAUUAAUGAAAAUAUCAAGAGGGAAACAGAAUCCGGUCCAAUUUUUCAAUUGCAGGAAAAUGUUUUUCCGUGGUUAUUUAAAAAUUCGAUAUUUCAUGAUUCCGACGCGAGAAUACGACGUUGGAGAGAAUUUCGGCCGAGACUUCUUGAGGAAUUUUCAUAAGAAAAAAUUGUUUCCAAUAUUGCAAUAAAAAAAAAUGUCUCGCAACUGCUGUACGUUUGUCACGCUUCCUCGGCCGAAAACUUUCCACAACACACGUUUUCCACGUUCAACAUGUAUCUAAAAAAGACAAAAAUAAUAUUGAGUUUCUAGACAAAGCAAGACUUAUGAAAAAAUGAUGACAAGAUUGAUAGUAAAUGAUUAAAUACAAUAUGCAAUUAAGCUGAAGGAGUAUUCUGCGGCAUACGUACCGAGAAUCGAGCAUAAUCCGUCGAGAGAUUGCACAAACUACCUGGGGUUCGAACUAUGACUUUCGGAAUGCGAGUGUGCAAAAAGUGUUGGACAAAAAAACAGAAUGAAAGAAAAGGUUUGAAAAGUGAAGGAAACCAAAGUAAAUGGGAGUCAAAGAAACACGAAAAUCAUUAAGUGCGCGUACGCCGAAUGGUUCAAUCAUUUUUUUUUUCUGGUCUCGAACAGGCUGCUCGAGACGACGGAAAUGACGACUGCGACGAGAACGAGUGACGUUUUCCAGCUGCUCGCAAAAAAUUUCCAGUUUUCAAGGAAUUCGUAAGAGUUUAGAAAUUAUUGGUUUAAGGGACAACGAAAAAUUGGAAUAUAAAAUAAAAAUAAACGAACAAAAACAUAAACUCAAAA